GGGGCCAUAGCUCAGUGGCAUAGCAUCUACCUUCCAUGCAGAACGUCCUGGGUUCAAUCCCUGGCACCUCCA
Molecule: non-coding RNA, 72 nt
Organism: Podarcis lilfordi (Lilford's wall lizard)
Lineage: Eukaryota; Metazoa; Chordata; Lepidosauria; Squamata; Lacertidae
Source: the annotation of a GenBank genome assembly